UCAGAGUGGAUGUCACGCCUGAGGAAGUUUGCCAGCACUGGGGCCUGGCCUGCCAGCCAGGGAAACAGGCCAGCUCCCAGGCAGAAGAAGUGGCAUGACCUGUAUCAAAAGAUUGAGAAGUGUCCAAGGAUGUCACAUGGACAGAGAUCUUUGUUCGGUGGUGUGAGGAUUCCACACUCAGAAGCCAGCUGCAGCAAAUGUUGCACAGGGAUCGGCAGGGCAACAGACGGCGGGUCCAGUUCUCCAUGGUGCCGUGGAGCAACAAAGUUCA
Molecule: long non-coding RNA, 271 nt
Organism: Seriola aureovittata
Lineage: Eukaryota; Metazoa; Chordata; Actinopteri; Carangiformes; Carangidae
Exons: 3
Source: RefSeq, a predicted model, not a curated record